This 841-nucleotide ribosomal RNA is filed under the name uncultured Chloroflexota bacterium. Its description in RNAcentral is "bacterial SSU rRNA". It matches the Rfam family "Bacterial small subunit ribosomal RNA", at positions 548 to 1400 of the family's 1533-position model. The record is from RNAcentral. Lineage: Bacteria; Bacillati; Chloroflexota.
GAUUUACUGGGCGUAAAGCGCGUGUAGGUGGUUUGGUAAGUAGGGCGUGAAAGCUCCUGGCUCAACUGGGAGAGGACGUUCUAAACUGCCAAGCUUGAGGAUGGUAGAGGGAGGUGGAAUUCCGGGUGUAGCGGUGGAAUGCGCAGAUAUCCGGAGGAACACCAGUGGCGAAGGCGGCCUCCUGGACCACUCCUGACACUCAGACGCGAAAGCUAGGGUAGCAAACGGGAUUAGAGACCCCAGUAGUCCUAGCCCUAAACGAUGUAGACUUGGCGUCGGUGGUUUAAUCGCCAUCGGUGUCAUAGCUAACGCGUUAAGUCUACCGCCUGGGGACUACGGCCGCAAGGUUAAAACUCAAAGGAAUUGACGGGUCCCCGCACAAGCAGCGGAGCGUGUGGUUUAAUUCGAUGCUACACGAAGAACCUUACCUGGGUUUGACAUAGAGGUAGUAGGGAAGCGAAAGCGGACCGACCCUUCGGGGAGCCUCUACAGGUGUUGCAUGGCUGUCGUCAGCUCGUGUCGUGAGAUGUUCGGUUAAGUCCGCUAACGAGCGCAACCCUCGCUGUGUGUUACAAGUGUCACACGGUACUGCCGAUAUUAAGUCGGAGGAAGGUGGGGAUGACGUCAAGUCAGCAUGACCUUUAUAUCCAGGGCUACACACACGCUACAAUGGCCAGUACAAUGGGUUGCCAAGCCGCGAGGCGGAGCCAAUCCUAAAAAGCUGGCCUCAGUUCAGAUUGCAGUCUGCAACUCGACUGCACGAAGUUGGAGUUGCUAGUAACCGCAGGUCAGCAAUACUGCGGUGAAUACGUUCCCGGGGAUUGUACACACCGCCCGUAAG